AAGGGGGUAAUUUUUCUAUUAGAGAACAUUAGUAACAUUCUAACACUAGUAUAUUGAGUAGCUACUAGCUACGUGGGAGAACAUUAAUAAUUUUUGAGAACAUGCAUAAUCUCAUAAGUAGGUGGAUCUUUCCUAGUUAACUUUCUCUUCCUAACAAUAUUUAUUAGGUGUAUUCUGUUCAAACCCAAUGUUUAUUAGGUGUAUUCCCUUAAUUUUUUCUUGUUGGUCCUUCCUAAAUUACUAAGGUUUUAACUUGUCAAUUGCUGUUUUGCCACUUGUUUUUCAGUCAAAGAACACAUUUUUUGUUCUCACCUAGCCCAACUGGGUAUUCACC
RNAcentral lists this long non-coding RNA (334 nucleotides) under Trifolium pratense (red clover). RNAcentral describes it as "long non-coding RNA (TPRA_LNC005792)". Lineage: Eukaryota; Viridiplantae; Streptophyta; Magnoliopsida; Fabales; Fabaceae. The record is from RNAcentral.